AGGAUUCAGGACCAUUUUGGAAGCCGCAUUGAUCAAAGACAAACGUCUCAAGCCGAGGAGUGACAUUGAGGACGCCAUGUUUGUUGACAACAAUGAUGUACGGCGGCCGCGAAGGAAGAAACAGUGCGGAGUACGGAGACAGCUGGCAGAGAGAAGGAGGCCUGAUGCCAGCAGCUAGUAUUGCUUUACAGGGAUGUGUUACAUAUAGCAAGACAUGCCCAGACACAUCCAGCGUCUAUUUACGCCACUGAGAUUUGUUUCAUAUCACAAAUAACGAUGAUGAUGGUGUUAAUGGAAAGAAACUCAGCACAUCCAGAGGAUCUUGCCUUUGGCGCCGGGAGGGAGGACUCUGUGUCACAGCGUGGCCUUAGCAAGCAGGUCAGAGGCCAUCAACACAGUUCUGAGAAGAAUUGAAAAACAAAAAAACAAGAACACAAGAACAAAAGCCAGCAACAAAGACAACAUCAUGCAAGUUCUUCUAUUCCCAAUUGCAAGAUCCUGAGUGCUUGACUUCCAGCAGCACCCCCAUAGUGCAAGCAGCCUGCUUCAUGGCACAUUCACUGGGAUAUGUGGUGUUGUCGCUGGCACACACCGCUUCGUCCGUCCUGCUCUCCGGACAGGCCUCCUCACACAGCGAGCAGCGGCCCCGGCUCAUACGGGCGUCCCAAAGACACUUCUUCCCCACACUGCACUGGAUGUCCUCACACGACUUGGCCUCUGGAAGGAGGGAAGAGGAAAUCAGCAACAGGGAGCAAAUCUUUGACUGGGUGGAUUAUAGUGACUGCUCUCAAGUGGGACCAGAUGACGAAGCAAGGAAUAUAAAGUACAUCCUGUUUUAUGGUGUUAGGGAAAGUGAUGGAGGACAUACAGGCAUGUUUAAACUAACAAUUCUCAAACUACAUGACUCAGAAUGACUCUUUUUGGAUAAUAAGCCAUCUGACUCAAACAUUUACUUGAAGCAUGCCUCCAUGGCCCCCAGCACUCCCCUGUUUCUUUCUCUUGCUCCCUCCCCCUCUCCUCCCCUCUCUCCCAUGUGCACUAGUGCUGCCAACAUCAGGAAAUAAUAAGAUGUCUAUCAAUUCUUGAGCAAACACAAGCAACAACCAAACACACUCUCUCUCUCUCUAAGACCCCCUCCUCAAAGGAAUGUUGGCAAAAUGAGUACAGAACAACUGCAAAGCUGGCCAGGGACAAAAUGCUCUCAAACAAUCAUCAGAGUCAGUGGCUGGAGGCGAUCACAAACACCACACUCUCACACUCUCACGUGUCUAGUGGCUGCGUACUUACUGAUGCAUUUUCCCUCAUAUGCCACUCCGAUAGAUCUGCCCAGGAGACAGGUAGCUCUUCUCAGGUGACACGCGCUGGCGUAGAUGAUCCCGUCGUUUCCACACAGGUACUGCUCAGGCGACGUCACCUCGGGGCAAAUCCGAUUACACGUCACACAAUACGCGUUAUUCGUCUGGUCCACGACGCAUGUGGAGCUGCCGGGGCACAAGACGUCACGGCACGUUUCUGUCGAGACAAAGAGACGUGAAGAUUUGAAGAAUCAAAAAAAGAGAAAUGCACAAACCGCUGGGUUCUUUAUACAUACAGCUUUAAGAAACAUUCUGAGCAUUUACUUACUCUUGCACUUCCCCUGGUACUGCACGUCCAAGUCUGGAUGGCCUUUACAUUUAGCUUUCAGCAGAGCGCAUUCGUCUUUGUAGGUCUUUCCGUCUGAGCCGCAGACGGGUCCUUUCCAGGUGAUGUUGGAGCAGUCUGGUGCGCACACACAGCGCGGCUUACUUCUUCUGUUCAUCUUGCACCUCUUCCCAGGGCCACAGUCCACAUUAUCGCAGGUUUCUAGAAUAAAAGGUCUGUGUUAUGGGAUGCUGACGAUGAUUUUGGACUUGUGCGUAAAACCAGUCUGACGCCUUAAGUAAACACUAAAUGGAUAAUUUGCGCAGUUCAUGUGCACAAAUCGGAUCACAAGUUGGAGUUAUUAACUUAAUGGCUUAGGAUGUGUAUUAUGAUAUAACGAAGGGAAAUGAGUGCACCUCCACCUUUGCAAGGUAUGCAAUUGGGGGCUCCGCCAUUGAAGAUCAUCCACCUAAAGAGCGUGCUGUUGGGGACGUCCUCCUCGGUCCAGGACGUCCCCAGUCUUCCACUCCGACAGCACUCCUCCCUGCUCAUCCCGGGCAUGUAGAGCACCUGGCACCUCCCGUUCUUCCCCUGCUGCAGCCAGCAGUUCCCAGCUGCAAACAGACAGAAAAACCCUCAAAUGUCGCAUGUUGGACGGCUGUAACCGCUGACCCAGACGCACCAGACACACACGCAGCCUGUAUUAUCCGAGACGCUCCCUCCCUCCCUUUCACCCUCCCGGCACUAUUUUGUCUGAUUUUUUUUCUUUUUUCUUUUUGCCAGACUGUUAACACUUGCCUGUCCUAUCUGUGACUGACAACCCUUACAAUGCAGCCGCAAACCAAAAAAGUAAGAAAAUCUUCGGAGGGGGGUUUGUCCUUUAUUCCCAGAGCCUCCUUGUUAUCACUGGACAGAAAGUGGAGCGUCUAGACAGUGUUAAAAAGCAGCCAAUCUCCUUCAAAAAAAAAACACCACACACCACCGUCUCCAACGCCUCAGAACAAUAUCCUAGACAUGUACCCUCCA
Notolabrus celidotus (New Zealand spotty) is the source of this 2646-nucleotide long non-coding RNA. RefSeq lists it as uncharacterized. The transcript is spliced from 4 exons. The record is from RefSeq and is a predicted model, not a curated record. NCBI's taxonomy places the organism in Eukaryota, Metazoa, Chordata, Actinopteri, Labriformes, Labridae.